UCUAUGGAGUUUAGACUACUCUUUUUCUAGAGGAACUGCUCAUUUACUUGCAAAGAUCUUGACUAUCAACAAACUCUAAGGUACAUGGUUUCAUUCGUGAUUGAGUUUUACACCGUUUAUUGUCACCACAUGUUUGGUUGAACACUGGUGGUUUCCUUGACAGGGGUACAACGAGAUAAGGAACACAGUAUUCAUAUUUCAUAGUUUUUAUAUCUGUAAUAUUAUAAAUUCUUGUACUGAAUAAUUUUGAACUUGCUUUUGUUCAAAUUGAGAUGUUUUGAAAAUUGUAAGUCUUGAUUGUGUAUAUUUGUGUUUGUGUUGGCACUACAAUUGCGUUUUGUUUUGAUUCUGCUUUCGUACUAUGCAGGGAACUCUAGUUAUCAUGGAAGACACACGGCAGUAACCAUUCCUCGGCCUAUAAAUCUCCAACCGAUUUCUGUGCCUUCGAUUACAGUAAAUGAAUUAAAGUCUGUGACAGAUAGUUUUGGUACGAAGUCUUUCCUUGGUGAAGGUGCGUACGGGAAAGUAUAUCGCGCCAUGUUGAAAAUGGGACAUGAAACUGAACUCUGUUUGUCGAAAUCAUUUGGAUUUGCGGGUACAAAGGAUAAGUGUGCUGUUACGACCCAAAGGGCUUGUGGAUUGAAAUGGGCAUGUGAUGAUAGGGAACUUGCUUCUGGUGAAGUUAGGCUUCUUUCAGCUGCAAAACACAAGAACCUUGUUGGUCUGGUUGGAUAUUGUGAACAACCAGAAAGAGAUGGAGCAAAAAUACUAGUCUAUGAAUAUGUAUCAAAUGGAGCAGGAAAAGGCAUAGCUUAUUUGCAUGAAGAGGUGAAGCCAAGUAUAAUUCAUCGUGACAUCAAACCAAGUAACAUACUAUUAGGGGAAGGUUUUGAGGCCAAAGUUUCAGAUUUUGGGUUGGUAAAAUCAGGACCUACUGGUGAUCAAUCACAUGUCAGAAGUGUGAAGGGAGACUAUAUUUCUUUUUGUUUUAGAAUCUAGUCUAGAGGAGAAGUGAGGCAAUGAUUUGUCAUAGAUAUCCUUGGUGGUCACUCCUCUAUCGUAAAAAGGGUGGAGUUAUUGUUCAUUAAGCUUUGCAAAUGUAUAAUCCAUAAUUUAAAAUAAUGAAUUCCUUGCGUGGUGCUGUAUCUUCAAGGAAAAUAAAAGGAGGCUGAUUAUCAUCUGUUUGUUAGGUGCAUAUCACACAAGGUGAUUAUGAAAGAAGAGCAGUAAUCGUCUCAUGGGUGACCUCGAAUGAACCAGAGUCCAGCCAUGUACAAUUUGGCACAUCACAGAAAGAGUAUCAAACUAGUGUAAAAGGUGCAGUUUCAAAUUACACUCUCAGCUAAUACAAAUCUGGUUACAUUCAUCAUUGUCUUGUUAAAGGCCUUAAGGUACUUGUUUCAAAUUAGGAGAGUAGAAUUAUCAUUUGUGUUUUUUUACUUCAAAUGUCAAAAGUGAAAUAAAUUGAACAGUGGAGUCUAACUAAAAGAACAACAUAUAUUUCAUUUUUGAAUAAUGACACCUCCCGAAGUUGAACCAGAUGCCCCUUACAAAUUUGGGAUC
Molecule: RNA transcript, 1563 nt
Organism: Vicia villosa (hairy vetch)
Lineage: Eukaryota; Viridiplantae; Streptophyta; Magnoliopsida; Fabales; Fabaceae
Gene name: probable serine/threonine-protein kinase PBL23
Exons: 7
Source: RefSeq, a predicted model, not a curated record